AUAUUCUAUAACGAGUAUGGAAUAAGGUGUAUUCCGCGCGAGUGAAAAGUUCGUCACACGAGCCGAAGGCGAGUGUGACGGUUUCACGAGCGUUGAAUACCUAUUCCUUACAAGUCAUAGACAUAAUUUUUUCUACUACUACAACGAAUUGUUGCGAAAUAUGUAAAAUUCCGACCAGAGUUAGUGGUAGACAAUCCACAAAUAGUUCUGUGUGCGGUGGGUAGGUAUAACAAAUCCCUGUGGCAUUUGAGCGACUCUCAUUUGUCUAAAUGACCCAGAACGAACGAUACCGCACAUGCGAAAGAAAUGUAAAAGGUUUGUUCGUAUUAUUUGCGUUUAGCACAGACGUGUUUAGUAAUCGAAAAUGUACAUAUAUUUGUUACGGUUAAAGUAGACAUUUGGUAAAUGUGCACAUGUUAACACUACUCCCAUUUGUAUGUUAGUUUUCACGCUCCCCAAGGUAAUACCUACUGAGGAAAUCUGUUCUGGUCCUGGAUCACCAACAACUUACUGUUACCUGUUUGGAUGUUCUUUUCGUAUAGUGCUGUGAGGUGUAGCUACUCGUGGCUUAUGCUCUUAGGAAUGGACCUCAAGAUAAACACGUGGCUUAAGCUGUUGUGAGUGGACCUCAAGAUAAGACUUGUGAACAAAACGCUAAGUGUUUCGGGAUCUGAUGAGAUUGGAUUGAUUUUUUAAAAGGGCCUGCAACUUAGCGUAGCUGCUUAUGUCGACAUUAUUGUUCAAAAGUAAUUUAGAUCGUAACAUGGGAUACGUUUUGCACAAUGUUGUAGAUGCUUUAAUUGCCUGUGAUAAUAUAA
Photinus pyralis (common eastern firefly) is the source of this 818-nucleotide long non-coding RNA. RefSeq lists it as uncharacterized. The record is from RefSeq and is a predicted model, not a curated record. The transcript has 3 exons. NCBI's taxonomy places the organism in Eukaryota, Metazoa, Arthropoda, Insecta, Coleoptera, Lampyridae.